This 366-nucleotide ribosomal RNA is filed under the name uncultured bacterium. RNAcentral's name for it is "bacterial SSU rRNA". It matches the Rfam family "Bacterial small subunit ribosomal RNA", at positions 335 to 691 of the family's 1533-position model. The record is from RNAcentral.
ACUCCUACGGGAGGCAGCAGUAGGGAAUCUUCCACAAUGGGCGCAAGCCUGAUGGAGCAACACCGCGUGAGUGAAGAAGGGUUUCGGCUCGUAAAGCUCUGUUGUUAAAGAAGAACACGUAUGAGAGUAACUGUUCAUACGUUGACGGUAUUUAACCAGAAAGUCACGGCUAACUACGUGCCAGCAGCCGCGGUAAUACGUAGGUGGCAAGCGUUAUCCGGAUUUUAUUGGGCGUAAAGAGAGUGCAGGUCGGUUUUCUAAGUCUGAUGUGAAAGCCUUCGGCUUAACCGGAGAAGUGCAUCGGAAACUGGAUAACUUGAGUGCAGAAGAGGUAGUGGAACUCCGAUGUGUAGCGGUGGAAUGCGU